ACGAAAUAGUAGUGCGCGCGUGUUUAAGUUGUAAAAGGUUUAUUGUUUGAAUAAUUGUUGGUGAAGUUCUUUUUAAUUUUGUGUUGUUUCAUUUCUUAUGAUAGGAUCUGUUCGAUGUUAUCCGUUAAAAUAAUUAUUGUUACAUUGUAAAUAGUACGGAAUUGUGUUAGUUGAAAAUCAUUUAGAACGUUAAACCCCCAUUCAACACACCACGAAGAAAUAACGACAGUGACAAACAAAUAUAAACCAAUUAUAGAAAAAGGUCCACGACAAAGGGACCUUUUUCUGUUGUGUUUAUUCACAGUUUUCGACAGUGCAGUGCCGCGGUGGAAGUGCCCGUUGAUCCGGCCUUGAUCCCGCUAUUUUGGAUGCCGGAGAUUUUCGGUCCGAAACAGUGCCGCCAUUGUUUUAGGCACGCGGGAUCAUCAUUCGCCGCAGGUUGGCCGCCAUCUUCUCGCCCAACGCCGCUUACCCGAGCCAGCACUCGUCUCGUCCGUGGAUCGUAUUUCCGGACGAAAUCAGCCCUGCGACCUGCUCCACACCGGCCAGAACCCUUCAAGUCCGCCACUCCAAACACCAAAACACCUACAAGCAUGCAAGUACCCUUAAUGUGACGUCACCAAUAAAUUGUAAAAUUGUUAACCUCAGGUG
Armigeres subalbatus is the source of this 651-nucleotide long non-coding RNA. RefSeq lists it as uncharacterized. The record is from RefSeq and is a predicted model, not a curated record. The transcript is spliced from 3 exons. Lineage: Eukaryota; Metazoa; Arthropoda; Insecta; Diptera; Culicidae.